This 342-nucleotide ribosomal RNA is filed under the name Salmonella enterica. RNAcentral's name for it is "bacterial SSU rRNA". It matches the Rfam family "Bacterial small subunit ribosomal RNA", at positions 207 to 534 of the family's 1533-position model. Lineage: Bacteria; Pseudomonadati; Pseudomonadota; Gammaproteobacteria; Enterobacterales; Enterobacteriaceae. The record is from RNAcentral.
GGACCUUCGGGCCUCUUGCCAUCAGAUGUGCCCAGAUGGGAUUAGCUUGUUGGUGAGGUAACGGCUCACCAAGGCGACGAUCCCUAGCUGGUCUGAGAGGAUGACCAGCCACACUGGAACUGAGACACGGUCCAGACUCCUACGGGAGGCAGCAGUGGGGAAUAUUGCACAAUGGGCGCAAGCCUGAUGCAGCCAUGCCGCGUGUAUGAAGAAGGCCUUCGGGUUGUAAAGUACUUUCAGCGGGGAGGAAGGUGUUGUGGUUAAUAACCGCAGCAAUUGACGUUACCCGCAGAAGAAGCACCGGCUAACUCCGUGCCAGCAGCCGCGGUAAUACGGAGGGUG